Molecule: ribosomal RNA, 465 nt
Filed under: uncultured bacterium
Lineage: Bacteria
Description: partial 16S ribosomal RNA
Rfam family: Bacterial small subunit ribosomal RNA
Source: RNAcentral
CUACGGGGUGCUGCAGUGGGGAAUAUUGGACAAUGGGGGAAACCCUGAUCCAGCAAUGCCGCGUGUGUGAAGAAGGCCUGCGGGUUGUAAAGCACUUUCGGUUGGGAGGACUGCUUCUAGCACUAAUAUUGUUGGAAGUUGACGUUACCUUCAGAAGAAGCACCGGCUAACUCCGUGCCAGCAGCCGCGGUAAUGCGGAGGGUGCAAGCGUUAAUCGGAAUUACUGGGCGUAAAGCGCGCGUAGGCGGCUAGAUCAGUCGGGUGUGAAAGCCCCGGGCUUAACCUGGGGACUGCAUCCGAUACUGUCUAGCUUGAGUACAGGAGAGGAGAGUGGAAUUCCACAUGUAGCGGUGAAAUGCGUAGAUAUGUGGAGGAACACCAAUGGCGAAGGCAGCUCUCUGGCCUGAUACUGACGCUGAGGUGCGAAAGCGUGGGGAGCAAACAGGAUUAGAUACCCCCGUAGUC